UUGUGAUAAAAUAAUCCGGAAGAAAAAAAUGAAUAAAAUCGUCCUUUGACAGCUUCGUCUGUGUGGUUCGGGUCCUGCGCAAUAAGACGCUGUGAACCUUGUCAGGUCCGGAAGGAAGCAGCAAUAAGCGGAUGUUCUUAUGUGCCGCAGAUCAGCCUUUUCCAUAUCCGGCGGGGCUGUCAAAGGGCGAUUUUCAUUA
Molecule: signal recognition particle RNA, 199 nt
Filed under: Bacillota bacterium
Lineage: Bacteria; Bacillati; Bacillota
Description: signal recognition particle sRNA large type
Rfam family: Bacterial small signal recognition particle RNA (bases 66-165)
About the family: The signal recognition particle (SRP) is a universally conserved ribonucleoprotein involved in the co-translational targeting of proteins to membranes.
Source: RNAcentral